Molecule: long non-coding RNA, 436 nt
Organism: Aedes albopictus (Asian tiger mosquito)
Lineage: Eukaryota; Metazoa; Arthropoda; Insecta; Diptera; Culicidae
Exons: 2
Source: RefSeq, a predicted model, not a curated record
GCUAAGACACACACUAAACUAAACAGAGAGAAAGUGACUCACACAAACAAAAAGAAUAUCAUGCGAAAAGCAAUGGUGGAAGAUUCCAAAAACAGGGACCGAAUUCUAGACCGCCCGAUAGGUAGGAGAUUGUCCGCAUCACGACGGUUGAAAACCGAACGGGCUCAAUCUAUGUGAGUACAGUGCAGGACAACAAAUAUGUAUAAAAUGAAAAUUGACCUUUGAAUCUUCCAUUUAGACCAAAACUUCCGCAUGACAUUUUUGAGUUUAGCAAAGCCAUCUUGACUAGAAAACCUUGACCGAUUGAACCCUUGAAAAAGGUCCCAUACGGACCGAAACGUCGGGAAAAAUCAUAAACUAGUGUUUUCGAUUCCCCAAAAGACUGCAAAGCCAACAUUCCGAAGCAAAAUCAUCCCAGUCGCAUCCCAACCAAGUA